Fukomys damarensis (Damara mole-rat) is the source of this 446-nucleotide long non-coding RNA. RefSeq lists it as uncharacterized. The record is from RefSeq and is a predicted model, not a curated record. The transcript is spliced from 3 exons. NCBI's taxonomy places the organism in Eukaryota, Metazoa, Chordata, Mammalia, Rodentia, Bathyergidae.
GCUCUUUUUACCCAACAUAUCUGGUGUUGAAAUCCAGGAGGAAGGUGGUCCAUUAAGUGACAAUUCCCCAUGGACCAGGGUCAAUUGGCCUUUCAACCACCUCUUCCAGACAUCUGCUGAACCAGGACCUCCUCGGGGCUUUCUACCUUUGCCAUUGCUGACAACUCACAUCCAAACCAGUCACUGAGUGAGUAGGUGUUCAACCACCAAAGUGCAGAGACCAACACUAAAAGGUAACUGGGCUAAGACCACCAAUAUGUUGGCCCUGGCUCUCCAAGGUCAUCAAAAAUCCAAGAAGCAGGUGACAGAAUCACGACUAACUUUAUGUAGGCAAAAGUGACUGAUACACACCACUUCCAAGAAGAACCUGUAAAACCCUCCCAUGGCAGCUGAAUAAAAGGAUGUCAAGGGUGUAGAAGAGGAAGAGUUUCAAUCCCUGCAUUGCU